AUUGAACGCUAACGGCAUGCCUUACACAUGCAAGUCGAACGGUAGCACAGGAGCAAUCCUGGUGGCGAGUGGCGAACGGGUGAGUAAUACGUGGGAACCUACCCAAUAGUGGGGGAUAGCCCGGGGAAACCCGGAUUAAUACCGCAUACGCCCUUCGGGGGAAAGCGGGGGAUCGUAAGACCUCGCGCUUCUGGAUGGGCCCACGGCCGAUUAGCUAGUUGGUAGGGUAAUGGCCUACCAAGGCAACGAUCGGUAGCUGGUCUGAGAGGACGAUCAGCCAGACUAGGACCGAGACAAAGCCCAGAAUCCUACGGGAGGCAGAGGUGGGGAAUCUUGGACAAUGGGGGAAUCCCUGAGCCAGAAAUGCCGCGUGUGUGAAGAAGGCCUGCGGGUUGUAAAGCACUUUCAGUAUGGAAGAAAAGCUCCGUGUUAACACCGCGGAGUCUUGACGUUACCUAAAGAGGAAGCACCGGCUAACUCUGUGCCAGCCGCCGCCGUAA
This 500-nucleotide ribosomal RNA is filed under the name uncultured bacterium. RNAcentral describes it as "partial 16S ribosomal RNA". It matches the Rfam family "Bacterial small subunit ribosomal RNA", at positions 29 to 523 of the family's 1533-position model. The record is from RNAcentral.